This 67-nucleotide transfer RNA is filed under the name Cephus sareptanus. RNAcentral describes it as "tRNA-Cys". The record is from RNAcentral. Lineage: Eukaryota; Metazoa; Arthropoda; Insecta; Hymenoptera; Cephidae.
GAUCUUAUAGUUUAUAAAAAAUUUUAAAUUGCAAAUUUGACGAAGUAGAUAUUAUUUACUAAGAUUU